CAAAAAGUAGUUUAUUAAAAAUAGUAGUUUUGGGUGCUACCGAAGAGAGGAUUCUUUUUGA
Molecule: transfer RNA, 61 nt
Filed under: Macrohectopus branickii
Lineage: Eukaryota; Metazoa; Arthropoda; Malacostraca; Amphipoda; Macrohectopidae
Description: tRNA-Pro
Source: RNAcentral